AGCGAACGCUGGCGGCAUGCCUAACACAUGCAAGUCGAACGAACCCUUCGGGGUUAGUGGCGCACGGGUGCGUAACGCGUGGGGAUCUGCCCUUUGCUUCGGAAUAACAGUUAGAAAUGACUGCUAAUACCGGAUGAUGUCGUAAGACCAAAGAUUUAUCGGCAAAGGAUGAACCCGCGUAGGAUUAGCUAGUUGGUAGGGUAAAGGCCUACCAAGGCGACGAUCCUUAGCUGGUCUGAGAGAAUGAUCAGCCACACUGGGACUGAGACACGGCCCAGACUCCUACGGGAGGCAGCAGUGGGGAAUAUUGGACAAUGGGCGAAAGCCUGAUCCAGCAAUGCCGCGUGAGUGAUGAAGGCC
RNAcentral lists this ribosomal RNA (360 nucleotides) under uncultured bacterium. RNAcentral's name for it is "bacterial SSU rRNA". It matches the Rfam family "Bacterial small subunit ribosomal RNA", at positions 29 to 416 of the family's 1533-position model. The record is from RNAcentral.